GACGAACGCUGGCGGCGUGCUUAACACAUGCCAGUCGAACGGAAAGGCCCUGCUUUUGUGGGGUGCUCGAGUGGCGAACGGGUGAGUAACACGUGAGUAACCUGCCCUUGACUUUGGGAUAACUUCAGGAAACUGGGGCUAAUACCGGAUAGGAGCUCCUGCUGCAUGGUGGGGGUUGGAAAGUUUCGGCGGUUGGGGAUGGACGCGCGGCUUAUCAGCUUGUUGGUGGGGUAGUGGCUUACCAAGGCUUUGACGGGUAGGCGGCCUGAGAGGGUGACCGGCGACAUUGGGACUGAGAUACGGACCAGACUCCUACGGGAGGCAGCAGUGGGGAGUAUUGCACAAUGGGCGGAAGUCUGAUGAAGCAACGCCGCGUGCGGGAUGACGGCCUUCGGGUUGUAAACAGCUUUAGCCUGUGACGAAGCGUGAGUGACGGUAAUGGGUAAAGAAGCACCGGCUAACUACGUG
RNAcentral lists this ribosomal RNA (468 nucleotides) under uncultured bacterium. RNAcentral describes it as "partial 16S ribosomal RNA". It matches the Rfam family "Bacterial small subunit ribosomal RNA", at positions 28 to 507 of the family's 1533-position model. The record is from RNAcentral.